Molecule: ribosomal RNA, 253 nt
Filed under: uncultured bacterium
Lineage: Bacteria
Description: partial 16S ribosomal RNA
Rfam family: Bacterial small subunit ribosomal RNA
Source: RNAcentral
UACGGGGGGGGCAAGCGUUGUUCGGAAUUACUGGGCGUAAAGGGCUCGUAGGUGGCCAACUAAGUCAGACGUGAAAUCCCUCGGCUUAACCGGGGAACUGCGUCUGAUACUGGAUGGCUUGAGUUUGGGAGAGGGAUGCGGAAUUCCAGGUGUAGCGGUGAAAUGCGUAGAUAUCUGGAGGAACACCGGUGGCGAAGGCGGCAUCCUGGACCAAUGCUGACACUGAGGAGCGAAAGCCAGGGGAGCAAACGGG